RNAcentral lists this unclassified non-coding RNA (418 nucleotides) under fungal sp. RNAcentral describes it as "partial internal transcribed spacer region". The stretch from base 1 to 46 matches the Rfam family "Eukaryotic small subunit ribosomal RNA", at positions 1786 to 1831 of the family's 1831-position model. The record is from RNAcentral. Lineage: Eukaryota; Fungi.
AAGUCGUAACAAGGUCUCCGUAGGUGAACCUGCGGAGGGAUCAUUAACACGUUUCUAACGUAUCCACUAUCAACCAACCGCGAACGAGUGAGAGCUCUACGUUAUGUUUAAUUACACAACGUAGUUCUUUCCAAUCUCCCUGUCACUCAAUAUUGUAUCAAGGAACUAGUAAUGGGUUUUAUAUUGUCUUACGACAUAUAAAUCGGUUUCUUAAUACUAACAGGUCAACUGUAAAAUAUUGAACUGAUGGGCUUAAUUAAACUUUUCAUUACAGGUUGAAACCAAACCGUUUCACCCCAUUUAACGACAUCGGACUGAUUACUUACUACUAAGAAAUUUUUAGUAAGCCAAAACAAAGUGAAUAACUUUGAUAUUCUAACUAAUAGCACAACUCUUAGCAACGGAUAUCUUGGUUCUC